This 56-nucleotide non-coding RNA is filed under the name unclassified sequences. The record is from Rfam.
CACGUUCAUCAUGUUUCUAACAUGACGGAAGUAGACGAAAGUCGAAGGAACGCAUG